GGAGUUCCGUUAUAAUAACAGAACAUGCAAAUCAUAAUAGUUCAGUUGAAGGGAGUGUUAGCAUUGAAGAGUUGAGAUCGAAGUAGCGUAACGAUCCCGUAAAGACUGUGAAAAUCAUGAAACAAAAAGCACUGACAAAAUCUUCAAUCCCCAAACCCACAAAAUUUUAAAAAUCGGUGAAAAGAAGAAAGUCGGAUGAAAAAAUGAAAUCUAGUAAAAUUGCAAGUACUGUUUUAUCUGAUUUUGAAUUUGAAGAAGAGAAAGUAGAGGAGGUAUUUUGAUGUGUACAAUUUUAUAGUUUCUA
Molecule: long non-coding RNA, 304 nt
Filed under: Capsicum annuum
Lineage: Eukaryota; Viridiplantae; Streptophyta; Magnoliopsida; Solanales; Solanaceae
Description: long non-coding RNA (CANN_LNC009870)
Source: RNAcentral